Molecule: microRNA, 22 nt
Filed under: Apis mellifera (honey bee)
Lineage: Eukaryota; Metazoa; Arthropoda; Insecta; Hymenoptera; Apidae
Description: ame-miR-3800-3p
Source: miRBase by way of RNAcentral
CGAGGCCGCUGAUUGUGCCAUA